This 437-nucleotide ribosomal RNA is filed under the name uncultured bacterium. RNAcentral's name for it is "bacterial SSU rRNA". It matches the Rfam family "Bacterial small subunit ribosomal RNA", at positions 30 to 486 of the family's 1533-position model. The record is from RNAcentral.
AUUGAACGCUGGCGGCAUGCCUUACACAUGCAAGUCGAACGGCAGCACGGGGGCAACCCUGGUGGCGAGUGGCGAACGGGUGAGUAACAUAUCGGAACGUGCCCUGGAGUGGGGGAUAACUAGUCGAAAGACUAGCUAAUACCGCAUACGAUCUACGGAUGAAAGUGGGGGAUCGCAAGACCUCAUGCUCGUGGAGCGGCCGAUAUCUGAUUAGCAGUUGGUGGGGUAACGGCUCACCAAGGCGACGAUCAGUAGCUGGUCUGAGAGGAUGAUCAGCCACAUUGGGACUGAGACACGGCCCAAACUCCUACGGGAGGCAGCAGUGGGGAAUAUUGGACAAUGGGCGCAAGCCUGAUCCAGCCAUGCCGCGUGAGUGAUGAAGGCCCUAGGGUUGUAAAGCUCUUUUACCCGGGAAGAUAAUGACUGUACCGGGAGAA